RNAcentral lists this ribosomal RNA (1159 nucleotides) under Salmonella enterica. Its description in RNAcentral is "partial 23S ribosomal RNA". It matches the Rfam family "Bacterial large subunit ribosomal RNA", at positions 1 to 1192 of the family's 2925-position model. The record is from RNAcentral. Lineage: Bacteria; Pseudomonadati; Pseudomonadota; Gammaproteobacteria; Enterobacterales; Enterobacteriaceae.
GGGUUGUGAGGUUAAGCGACUAAGCGUACACGGUGGAUGCCCUGGCAGUCAGAGGCGAUGAAGGGCGUGCUAAUCUGCGAUAAGCGCCGGUAAGGUGAUAUGAACCGUUAUAACCGGCGAUACCCGAAUGGGGAAACCCAGUGUGAUUCGUCACACUAUCAUUACGUGAAUACAUAGCGUAAUGAAGCGAACCGGGGGAACUGAAACAUCUAAGUACCCCGAGGAAAAGAAAUCAACCGAGAUUCCCCCAGUAGCGGCGAGCGAACGGGGAGGAGCCCAGAGCCUGAAUCAGCAUGUGUGUUAGUGGAAGCGUCUGGAAAGGCGCGCGAUACAGGGUGACAGCCCCGUACACAAAAGCGCAUGUGUUGUGAGCUCGAUGAGUAGGGCGGGACACGUGGUAUCCUGUCUGAAUAUGGGGGGACCAUCCUCCAAGGCUAAAUACUCCUGACUGACCGAUAGUGAACCAGUACCGUGAGGGAAAGGCGAAAAGAACCCCGGCGAGGGGAGUGAAAAAGAACCUGAAACCGUGUACGUACAAGCAGUGGGAGCACCCUUUGGGGUGUGACUGCGUACCUUUUGUAUAAUGGGUCAGCGACUUAUAUUCUGUAGCAAGGUUAACCGAAUAGGGGAGCCGGAGGGAAACCGAGUCUUAAUUGGGCGUUAAGUUGCAGGGUAUAGACCCGAAACCCGGUGAUCUAGCCAUGGGCAGGUUGAAGGUUGGGUAACACUAACUGGAGGACUGAACCGACUAAUGUUGAAAAAUUAGCGGAUGACCUGUGGCUGGGGGUGAAAGGCCAAUCAAACCGGGAGAUAGCUGGUUCUCCCCGAAAGCUAUUUAGGUAGCGCCUCGUGAAUUCAUCUCCGGGGGUAGAGCACUGUUUCGGCUAGGGGGCCAUCCCGGCUUACCAACCCGAUGCAAACUGCGAAUACCGGAGAAUGUUAUCACGGGAGACACACGGCGGGUGCUAACGUCCGUCGUGAAGAGGGAAACAACCCAGACCGCCAGCUAAGGUCCCAAAGUCAUGGUUAAGUGGGAAACGAUGUGGGAAGGCCCAGACAGCCAGGAUGUUGGCUUAGAAGCAGCCAUCAUUUAAAGAAAGCGUAAUAGCUCACUGGUCGAGUCGGCCUGCGCGGAAGAUGUAACGGGGCUAAACUAUGC